UUACUCUUUCAAAAAAUGGUGCCAAACAACAAAAGGUUCAUGGGACAAAAAGAACACCUUUGCUCAAUUAAGGUUCUUUUGUUUUGUUUUUAUGAAGCAAAAGAUUGAAUGUUGUUCAUAAUGCAAUCACUUCUAAUUGCAGUUGCAAGAAUUUAGGGACUAAGGGUCAUUAAAGCAAAAUGUAUACCCAUUCAUACAUUAUUAUGAAUAAAAAUGCAUAAUUUUUUUAAUAGAAAAGCGGACACCGAUAGAGACAAUUACUUGAGUAGCAAUUAAGACAACAACUAGCUAUCACAUUCAGGGACUAGAGUCAUUAAGUUCAUCCAACAUUUUACUCUAUAGUCAUUGAGGCAUCUAUUAUGAUCCAUCCGUUACAAAAUUUAUAAAACAUAGUAUAUUCAUCGAUUCCAAUGGUCAAAUUUAGGGUUACUGGGGCAAUAUACUCCACGCCUUUUUCAGAUAAUGAAAAAAGAUUCAGUCACACAAUGAUUGAAUGUUCUUGACUAAAUUAAAAAUAGGUAUCUCAACAU
This 530-nucleotide long non-coding RNA is filed under the name Trifolium pratense (red clover). Its description in RNAcentral is "long non-coding RNA (TPRA_LNC013025)". Lineage: Eukaryota; Viridiplantae; Streptophyta; Magnoliopsida; Fabales; Fabaceae. The record is from RNAcentral.